AAAAACAAGAUUUUGAUCCUAGCUCAGAACGAACACUAGUUAUAUUCUUAAAAAAUGCAAGUUGAACAUGGAUUGCUUCCCCAUCCAUCCAUGUGGGGGAAGGGAAAGAGGAAUGAACCCCUCCUAGCACAUGCUCACUCACUCAAAUGAUAUGCAAGUGGUACAUUGGGCGUGGGGCAUAGCAAGAAAAGUGGUGAACAGGUGCGUAGUGUGUGGGAAUUUGUUGAACAGUUCACUCCAAAUCCUGAAUAAUUCAGAAAGAAAGCUAAUUUGCAUUGUUUGAUGAGCUUGCGUAGUAUCAGGUAGUUUUUUAGGUAAAGGAUGACCAAUCCAAUGAUGCUUAGUUAGUCUUUUCAGAUGAUCAGCCACACUGGGACUGAGACAUGACCCAGACUCCCUUGGGAGGAAGUAAUGGGGAAUAUUGGACAAUGGGCUUAUGCCCGAUCCAACAAUAUCACAUGGGUGAAGAAGGGCAUUGUUGCUUGUCAAGAUAUUUCGUCGAGUUUUGAUCAUGAUAGGACUCGAGGAAGAAGCCUUGGCUAAAUCCAUGCCAACAGUCGUGAUAAGAUAGUGGGGUAAGUGUUAUUCAAAGUGACUGGAUGUAAAUGGCAUGUAGGCGAUGAAAAGGGUGGAAAGUGAAAGUCACCAAAGCACUCACGGGGUUCUUUCUUUACCAUUUCACUUGAGUGAGAUAGGGGAGACUGGAAUUUCAUGUGGAGGGAUAAAAUCCUAAGAUAUAUGAAGGAACACCAACUGUGAAGGCAGCUCUUUGGGUCCCCACUGACACUGGGGUGCAAAAGCAUAGGGAGAAAACAUUAUCAGAUAACUUGGUAGUCUAUGUCAUAAGUGAUGAGUGUUCAUCCUUGGUAUGCAUUCCUACUAGGUAGGAUUAGGAUCAAGGGCCCAGCUAACGCAUGAAACACUUCUCUUAGGGAGUGCGGUUGCAAGACUGAAACUAAAAGGAAUUGACGGGGGCCUGCACAAGUGGUGGAGCAUGUGGUUUAAUUUGAUACAACAUGAAAAACCUUACCAUCCCUUGACACAUGAGAAAGUGUGCCUAUCCCUAAUGGGAUGGUGUGAAAAUUCAUACAUGUGUUGCAUGGCUAUCGUCAUCUCGUGUCGUGAGAUGUUUGGUUAAGUCCUAUAAUGAGAAAAACCCUCAUUUUUUGUUUCUGAGACAUGCUCCAAUGGAUCAAUGUCAUUGCCCCUUCUCAAUGAAUCAAUAGGGUGAGGCAAGCACCUCUUUUUUAUUGAUGACACUCCUAUGAAAUAAGGUGUGUGUUUCACUGACAAGAGACUACCAAUGAUAUGUUGGAGGAAGGUGAGGAUGAUGUCAAGUCUACAUGGCCCUUCUGGGUUGGGCCACACACAUGUUACAAUGGAAAUGAAAAUGAGAAGCAAGGUUGUAAGGUGGAGUGAAUCCAAAAAGACUACCUCAGUUCGGAUUGUUCUCUGCAACUCGAGAACAUGAAAUUGGAAUCGCUAGUAAUCACGGAUCAACAUGCUAUGGUGAAUAUGUACCUGAGCCAUGUACACACCACCUGUCACACCCUGGGAGUUGAUUUCACCUGAAGCAUCAGACCAACGAUCACCCUAUCUAUAUAUGUUCCACUAGUGUGGCCCACGGAGGUUGGGGUGGUAUUAUUGGUGCAUCCCACAGUGGGGUCUUCGACUGGGGUGAAAUCA
This is a non-coding RNA of Picea glauca (white spruce), 1686 nucleotides long. NCBI's taxonomy places the organism in Eukaryota, Viridiplantae, Streptophyta, Pinopsida, Pinales, Pinaceae. The record is from Rfam.